CUCAGCUCCAUGAAUGAGGCUGUCAAUACCCUGAAUGAGCUUAAAUCAAAAGUAGGUUAGAGAACAAUUUGAGCAGGAAAUGUCUUGCAGAGGAAUGUGCUGAACAAAGAGAACUUUGUGUCUUCCACUUGACGGUAUCUUCAUUUCUUAGUAUUGAGGAGACAUAAACCUGUUUUGGUGCAUCCAAAGGAGGGCCAUAAAAAUGAUCCAAAGGAUGGAAUAAGAUGGAACAACUCUCCAAUGAGGACAGGCUGAGAGAGCUGAGGCUGUUCAUCUUGGAGAAGAGAAGGCUUUGAGUUUACCUCCUACAGCUGUGGUAGUAUGCACAACACAGUGGUUUCUCCUCGGCAUCAGUUCAAAAGAAGCUCAAAAACAAAUGAAAGAAAAUACGAGUUCCAUGUCUGAAGUGAGGAGAUUAAGGGAUACUGGACAACUCAUCUCUGAAGAAACUUCAGAGAGCUUUAUUUUUGGCAGCUGGACGGUUGUUCCAAUAGUGCUGUGCAGCUUGCUGGAUGGAGGAGGAUAUUGACUGAUGUGACACCUGCUUGCUGUGAGUCUUACUCUGGUUCCUCUGCAACUUCUCUACAGUGUUACAAAAUAAAGUUGAUGGCACAGGACCUCAGUUUUGAAGUUAAUGUUUGGUGCCUGGGACAUCUCAAAAUUCAAGAGCUGAACUUUUUGGGAUGAAAAUCUUCGGAGAGAAUCAGGCAUUGAUCUAUUAUUUUCUUAGUCAGAGCUUCCACCAUGAGGCUGCCAAAGAAAUAAAUGUCACCUUCUUCACUUUCUUCAGAUGCAGUUUUUGGAAGUGAUAACUGGAACUGCAGUCUGUGAUAUAUAAAAUAUAAGUGUACAUUGGAUUGAGCUCCCGAAAAGGAUUUUGGUAAUGGGAUGUCCUGUUUCUGGAUCCUGUUUAGGCAAUGGGAUUUAGGAUGCUCUACCUAUUAAGAUAGAUACUGUUGCAAUGCAUAUACAGAAAUGAAAUUUUAUGAUUUAGUUCUGAACAACAUUGAGGCACUGAGGUAUAAUCAGCUAGUAAUAGUUGAAAGCAUUGUUUUUCAGAGUAACAGAUUUGUAUUCAAAUAUAUGAAUUCUAACCCACUCCCACUUUGAGUGAUUUGCUAUCUGAGUGAGCAGCAGGAAAUCUUGCAGAUAUUUUUCACUGCAGCAUCCUGAAGAAGCUCAUACUAUUUUCUUUUUUUGUCGUCUUCUUGGUUUUACAGACAUAAUAUAUCCCUAUAUGUUUCUCCAGCAGAACUACAGAUGUCUCCCAUUACUUUUCUACAGCAACAUGGGUUAGAGCUUUCUCUAUAUGAAAAAAAAAAAAAAAAAUGCUAUAAGCCUCAUUUUCACAGUGGUUAUAAUGAUUGUCUUCAAUAGGGCAAUCCUUGCUGCAAGCAUUUCACGACAGUCUCAGUGAGCACAACGCAAAGUCUUUUAAUGCCUCAUCUUCAGGGUGUGGUAAGAUGAUGGGUAUUACAUGAUGCCUAGAAAGAAAUACCUAAUUUUGACCUUUUCAUUGUUUUCAUUAGGAAGGAAGCAAACAAAAAUAUUCUUUUUCUUUUUCCUUUUCCUUUUCCUUUUCCUUUUCCUUUUCCUUUUCCUUUUCCUUUUCCUUUUCCUUUUCCUUUUCCUUUUCCUUUUCCUUUUCCUUUUCCUUUUCCUUUUCCUUCUCCUUCUCCUUCUCCUUCUCCUUCUCCUUCUCCUUCUCCUUCUCCUUCUCCUUCUCCUUCUCCUUCUCCUUCUCUUUCUUUUUCCUUUUCCUUUUUCUCUUUAAAUAAUAACCUGGAAGUAUGGUUGUGCAAAAGCAGAAAUUUUGUUCAAAGAAAGAUUUCCUUUGAGCAAAAAGUACAUUUUAAAGAAAUAAAUUUGACCAUUUUUAGUAACUUACAUGAAAGAAAGAAGAGCUACUGUGAACAGGAAUUCUGAAUUUUUAUGAAUGCCAAUGGUGCUGCUAAAUUAAAAUUUUUCAACUUUUUCCCUUAGUUGGAUCAAAUGUGUUUAAAUUUAUAAAUUAGUAACCAGUUAUUUACAGACAACAAUUUGAAAAUAAAUCAGAGAAAACCAGUAGCAUUUGCCUCAGUACUACUAGAAAGACUGAAUGUAUACCUAGUCACAUUAAGAAAACAGUUACAAGGACCUACAAAACUCAUGCUGACAUUUAGACAGAAAGAACAUAAGCAUCUUUAGGCAAACAAAUUAGUAAGUCUAGCUAUGAAUAGUAAAGCCUCCCACACUAUCUCUGAAUCAGUUACCAACUUGCCUAGUAUAUAUCUGAUGGGCAGCCAAAUGGGAUGUUAUAGAAUGAGCAGCAAACCCUUGAAUAAAAAGUGGACACCCAAGGUGCCAUUUUGAUUAGUAUCUAUCUAUUAAGAUAGUUAGAGGUUUUUUCCUCUUUAAGCUGAUGUAACAUCAGAGAAAGAAGUCUUUGACUUGACCAGAAAUCCUUGACUUGGUUCUUAGAAACCUGAGGAGCACUAGAGUUUAGGCUGGAGAUAUGAAACUUUUUGUGGAAAACUACCACUAUUCUAUCAGAACUUAGCAAAAAAUUCAUUUUGUCAUGUUGAGUGGUGAAUUUUUUGUCCUAACACAUACAGGUUUUGGAAAGCUAUAAAGAAGAAACUUCACUCAACCCAGCUUGCUCCAUCAGUCUAGGAAAAAGCUAUUAGUGUGAAAAGAAAUUCCAAAAGUUUUAGGAGUUGAGAUUCACCUAAAAAUUUAUAUCUGCUAAGUAGAGUGAAAAUUUGAGGAGGAGUACAACUGAAAAGCAGGAACGCAAAUAAAUGUUAUUUCUGUAGAAGUUCAUGGGACUUUUGCUUGCAUGGAAGCCCAAAAGAGUCUGUAGAAUGUUGCCAGUACAUUCAGAAUAAAAUAGGAAUUUUAGAAAAGCAGAAGGAUUUGGCAAUGUCAUGUCCAGGAAUGAAGAAUAAUCAGAAUAAAUUAAGUAGGUCAUGGGAUGGACAGACUCAUAUAAUUACAAUGAAAUCAUAAUAUAAAUCAUUGGAGAACCAGCAGUGGUAAACACUGUUAGGUGGUUUUUUUUAUUGUUGUUUUUUGUGUAUGUGUGUUUGUUUUUGUGGUUUGUUUUUUUUUUCACUGAGGUAGCCAUAUUACAAGCAGGCAGCAUGAAUUACUUUAUUGAAUAUUCAAAGAUGUUUUGAAUACCCUGUAACUUCUUAUGAGAUUAUCAACCACCAUUUUCAGAUGUGCCUUAGGUCACUAAAAUGAUACACAGGACAUCAUUAUGCUUCCUAAAUGAUCUCAAUGCAGCAAUUUCAAUACAGUAGUUUGAUAACCAAUUAAGUGGCAUUCUAAACAUUUUAAGUUUUUCAUAUUUUCAAAAAAUCUCAGUAAGUGAAUAGUGCUAUGUAGUCAAUUUUUAACCCUCACGUGUAAUGACUGGUAAAGGAAGAUGAUUAAAAUCAACCUGGAAUGGUUUGGAUGUGCAAAAAUGUCAAAAUAUCAUGAGAUUAUGUACAGUCUUUAACUAAUGGACCAGUAAUUUGUAGUGAGAGUCAUGAGGCCUUCUGUUAUACAGACCUUUUGUUGAUUUGUCAGGGGAAAACUUUCUUCAGUACUUUUCUUGUAUGAUAUAAAUAAUCAUCACAGGUAGCAGUAAAUAAUUCUUGACUCUAGUUACCUAAAUGAACUUACUGAAACUUAGUGAAACAUCUGUAACAACACUUAGCAGCACUUGCAAAGAAAUCUUGUGCAGUAGUAGCAAAGGGAAACAGCAAUAUUUAGUCUGACAAGCUUUAACUCCAGUCACUGUCAGCCCAUUUUCAAAGGAAAAAAUUGCAGUCUGACUCAGGAUAAAUAUUAUAUGGACUGCUUUGUGGUAAAUCAUUCAUAAAGAAAGGUAGACUGUUCACCAAGAUUAUCUUUCUGAUUCAAAUGUAGCAAAAUGUUAGAUUUUACUUGGGCUCAUUUGUUUUCCUGAAAGACAUUUGAAUAAGCAAAAACCUGUAGAUCUCUCUCUUCUGGUUCCUUUGUUGAGGCAAUAGCUACCACACACAAAGGGACUGUAUAGGCAGGAUAAAGGCAGCUUUAAUACCCUGCACAGUUCCCAACAGCUGGAUGUAGUGUGCAGCUCUGCCAACAAGUCUGUGUAAGCCCAGCAGCACAAAUGAGGUGGUGACACACCAGCAACAACUGCUCUUUGGAAUGUACUCACCAUCAGUUUACUGGAAACAUCUUCCAGCUCCACUGGUCUCCCUUUAGUUUUUGGAUACCUUCCUAGAGCCUUUCUAUUUAACCCCUGAAUCCCUGAACUGCAGACAGUCUUACAUUGACUCACUUACUUUUGCUUGCAGUUUUACUUUUCUUAUCUCACUGGGUUUCCAUCCAUAUAUUUUCUUACAGUUUCCUCAGCAGGAAUGCAGCUUUCCCAGAUGUUUGUGUUGAGUUUACACAGUUAUGCCAGGUCAUUGCUUGGCUGUGGAUCAGGGAGCAUUGAUCAUUCAGAAGGGAGGUUGCCAAUCUGACAGGUGACAGAUCUGCCAGCUCUUCCCAGAAAGAGACUGAGAACCGACAGGAGGAAAUCGAAUGCACUUUAAAUCUGAAAUCUGUCAUCAGAGUAGCAGUCUUCACAAACUCAACUUUUCAAAGAAGGAAAUGUAUAUUUGCACAUUUUUAUAAUACCUAGUAUAAUAGGCCUUUAAUUUUCACUGAGGCCUCUGAAGUGUUGUGUUAUAAAUAUUUCAUAAUCAUGUAGCUGUGUCUCCAUCUCUGUGUACAUCGUCUUCAAACAAGCAGGAAAUAUUGCUGUUUAUCAUGCCCAGCAGCCACUUAAUAUGUGUAACAGGAUGGGCUUUAGUACAGCAGGCUAUCUGAUCACCCCUGUGGAUAAUUUACUGCUGUUUUUCUUCAGUCAGCCAUUCUCUUAACUGAAAAGGGGUGCAGGGGAGACUUAUUCCACUGUAAGGAGUGGAUUUGUAUUAGCUACAUGAAGCCUUGUUUAAACUUGCAGAAGAGUAUUGACACUAUCAAGUCAGAUGCCUGGAUGUCAAGUAUAAGUCCCUUAUAUAAUGACUGAAGCGUCCAGAAUGUAAUUCAGUACAUUUUGAAAAAUGUCAAUGCUUUAGAUUUAAGUUGUACUGAGGAACAACCAUAUGCUACAUUUAAAUAAACUUAAAAUCAGUUUAUAAGCAUUGUAUAAGGGUUCUAUAAGAAUAAGAAUGAAGGCUUAAAUGUGCCUUGCAACAUUACUUCUCUGACAGAUUAUUGAGCUGUACAUAAGAAUGCUUGUUUAGAUACGUGUAUAUAGAGAGACAGAGAGUGCUAUCCUAAACCGUAGAAGGUGUAAUGUCAGUUUUUGAUAGUCCACAGGAAGAUUACACAUUAAAUAUUGUAGAGAGAGAGAGAGACACUGUUAUUUCACGAGCGAUUUGAAAUCAGAUAAUGUCUGUAAAACGCUGAACUAUAUAUGUAUGGAGAUAUUAUACAUAUGUAAUAUGCUUAUUGUAUAUGCAUGCAAACACUUAAAUGUAUCAAUACGUAGAUGCAUUUUAUAUAAAUUAUUUAUAUACUUAUAUAUAUACACUGUGAUAUGAUCACUGCUGCCUCAGGGCAGCUGCCUACAUUCUCUAGGAAAGCAAAUUAUCUCUAGUACAAUACAUCUAUUAGUUAAUUACAGUAUUUGCAUACUUGAUUAUAAAAUAUAUAAAGUAUUUCUAGAUUUGAGAAUUCAUAGACUUUGAGUAGCUUAGUUUAUAAGUGCUCCAUAUUACCUAUGUUAUGUUAGAAUGGCACACUGGAAUGGGAAGAGGACAAAUGAAAUUAAAACAUUAAAUUUAUUACAGUUAUAAAAAUAUGUACACUUUUUAUACAACAAAUAAUUAGACGGUGAAACACCUUGUCGAAAAAUUGUGGAUAAUUGCCUAGUAGGAUGAAAACAGCUGAAUAUAAGUGAGUAAUUAUUAUACCCUGCGGAAUUGCAUUAACUAAACAAACAAUUUAUAAUGGAUAUCAAUAGUCAUUCUAUAUAAUAUAAGCUUACCUGCUUAACAAACUAGAAGAAACAUUCCCUACAGACAAGCAUUUGCAUAAUCCUCAAUUAGGUAUUUGGAGAGGCAUAAAUUUUAAGGCCAAGAGAGAUUGUUAAGAUCAUGUCACCUGACCUUUGAAUAAGCAUGUGCAGCAGAAUGCUGUUAAGUCAUUCCUGACUCAGCCCUUGGUUACCAGCUUUAUUUUAGGAAGAAGAAUUUUAAACUGUUUUCUUUCUAGUUUCAGAUUCUAACUUCUUAUUGGAAAGCUGCUGGAGACCUUUUCUUGCUAUGCUGUUAUUUGGAGUGAAUAAAGAAUCUUUUCUACUUUCAGCUCAGGCAGGCAUUUACACCCACCCAUGGGAAGCAAGCACUGAAGGAAGUGUAGGUGGAGGCGCAACCCGAUGCUCUUGCAGCAUGCAGGCAAGGAGAAGCAGAAGUUUGCUCCCAGUGGUGGGAAACUGAAAACACGUGGGGAUUGAAGUACAAGUCUUCGCAAGCAUCAUCUCAAGACUGACUGCUUCCACCACUCCCUGAGAGGCAACACAGAGGCCUGUGGGAAGCCCAGAUGCCGUGAGCAGGGAGUUAUAUGGCCACUGUGUCCAAGUGGCUUUCCAGGAUACCAGAGGGCAAUGGGGUAUGAGAUGGAGGUGGGAGGCUGACCUCCGAUCACCUCUGGACCCGGGUUGAUCCAUACCCAAGGGCCAGAUUUAGCCAGUAUUCAAGGCCAGUGUGAAAGGAUUUUGAGCUGACAUUAAAAUCAAUUCUAAAUAUUAAGACAAUUCUAAGAUUUACACAUCCUUCUUUACCCUUCCCUUUUCUGUAUGAACAGCGACACUUCAACAGAAAAUUUCCUUAU
Gallus gallus (chicken) is the source of this 6840-nucleotide long non-coding RNA. The record is from Ensembl. NCBI's taxonomy places the organism in Eukaryota, Metazoa, Chordata, Aves, Galliformes, Phasianidae.